UGGGGGAUAUUGCACAAUGGGCGAAAGCCUGAUGCAGCGACGCCCGUGGGGGAUGAAGGCCUUCGGGUUGUAAACUUCUUUUGCUCUGAACAAGGCAUGCCUUUGGGGUGUGUUGAGUGUAGGGGUUGAUUAGCGCCGGCUAACUACGUGCCAGCAGCCGCGGUAAUACGUAGGGCGCGAGCGUUGUCCGGAAUUAUUGGGCGUAAAGGGCUUGUAGGUGGCUGGUUGCGUCUGUCGUGAAAGCUCAUGGCUUAACUGUGGGUUUGCGGUGGGUACGGGCUGGCUUGAGUGCAGUAGGGGAGGCUGGAAUUCCUGGUGUAGCGGUGGAAUGCGCAGAUAUCAGGAGGAAUACCGGUGGCGAAGGCGGGUCUCUGGGCUGUUACUGACGCUGAGGAGCGAAAGCGUGGGGAGCGAACAGG
Molecule: ribosomal RNA, 419 nt
Filed under: Fusobacteriota bacterium
Lineage: Bacteria; Fusobacteriati; Fusobacteriota
Description: Fusobacteria bacterium partial 16S ribosomal RNA
Rfam family: Bacterial small subunit ribosomal RNA
Source: RNAcentral